This 747-nucleotide ribosomal RNA is filed under the name Phellinus sp. UTHSCA DI 13-132. Its description in RNAcentral is "eukaryotic LSU rRNA". The stretch from base 296 to 449 matches the Rfam family "5.8S ribosomal RNA". Lineage: Eukaryota; Fungi; Basidiomycota; Agaricomycetes; Hymenochaetales; Hymenochaetaceae. The record is from RNAcentral.
UCCGUAGGUGAACCUGCGGAAGGAUCAUUAACGAGUCUUGAAAGCGGAGAGCUUGUUGCUGGCGCGGAAACGCGCAGGUGCACGGCUUUCCGUGCUCAAUCCACUCAACCCCUGUGCACCCUUGCGAAGCUAGUAGUCUUUCCGCUUGUAAUCUGGUUGUAAUGAGAGGGCUUGUUGCUUUAUGCGCGAGUUCACUCGACCGGAGGGAGAGAGAGGCGAACGCUUUGAUUUUUAUUACAAACCCAAUGUAAUGUCUUGUGGAAUGUAAUGCUCCUUGUGGGCGAAAUUGAAAUACAACUUUCAACAACGGAUCUCUUGGCUCUCGCAUCGAUGAAGAACGCAGCGAAAUGCGAUAAGUAAUGUGAAUUGCAGAAUUCAGUGAAUCAUCGAAUCUUUGAACGCACCUUGCGCCCCUUGGUAUUCCGAGGGGCAUGCCUGUUUGAGUGUCAUGUUAAUCUCAAACCCCAAGUCUUUCUUAAGUGAAAGACUCGGUUUGGUUUGGACUUGGAGGUCGCUGCUGGCUCUCUUUUGUAGUCGGCUCCUCUGAAAUGCAUUAGCUGGACUUUGGUUCGCAUUUACGGUGUAAUAGUAAUACAAAUGUUCGCCGUCGAGUGCUUGCCUAUGAAGUCUGCUUCUAAUCGCCCCCCCCGCGCGGGCAAGGUCUUCGACGACCUUCAUGAACACUUUGACCUCAAAUCAGGUAGGACUACCCGCUGAACUUAAGCAUAUCAAUAAGCGGAGGAAAAG